RNAcentral lists this ribosomal RNA (198 nucleotides) under uncultured prokaryote. Its description in RNAcentral is "partial 16S ribosomal RNA". It matches the Rfam family "Bacterial small subunit ribosomal RNA", at positions 524 to 721 of the family's 1533-position model. The record is from RNAcentral.
UACGUAGGGUGCGAGCGUUAAUCGGAAUUACUGGGCGUAAAGCGUGCGCAGGCGGUUGUGUAGGACAGAUGUGAAAUCCCCGGGCUUAACCUGGGAACUGCGUUUGUGACUGCACGGCUAGAGUACGGCAGAGGGGGGUGGAAUUCCUGGUGUAGCAGUGAAAUGCGUAGAUAUCAGGAGGAACAUCGAUGGCGAAGG